AGCCUCACCCAAAAACCACAUCCCUCCUCUAAAGAAGCCCCAGUGGACAUAGCUCAUCACCAUGGACUGGACCUGGAGGAUCCUCCUCUUGGUGGCAGCAGCUACAGGUGCCCACUCCCAGGUGCAGCUGGUGCAGUCUGGGGCGGAGGUGAAGAAGCCUGGGGCCUCCGUGAAGGUCUCCUGCAAGGCUUCUGGAUACACCUUCACCAGCUAUGGUAUGCAGUGGGUGCGACAGGCCCCUGAACAAGGGCUCGAGUGGAUGGGAUGGAUCAACACCAACACUGGUGGCACAAGCUACGCACAGAAGUUCCAGGGCAGAGUCACCAUGACCAGGGACGCAUCCACGAGCACAGCCUACAUGGAGCUGAGCAGCCUGAGACCUGAGGACACGGCCGUGUAUUACUGUGCGAGAGACACAGUGUGAAAACCACAUCCUGAGAGUGUCAGAAACCCCAGGGAGGGGGCAGCUGUGCUGAGCUGAGGAGACGACAAGGGUUACCAGGUUUAAGGCUGUUUACAAACAGGGUUAUAUAUUUGAGAGAAAAUCACGUGGAAACAAGUGCACACUCUCAUUUUGAGAGAAAUAUUCCAUCCAAGAGUCCUCAUAUAAACCAGAUUCAGAGUGGGAAAGGCCACACUCAGUACAGUUGAUGCAGACAU
Molecule: non-coding RNA, 660 nt
Organism: Callithrix jacchus (white-tufted-ear marmoset)
Lineage: Eukaryota; Metazoa; Chordata; Mammalia; Primates; Cebidae
Source: the annotation of a RefSeq genome assembly